AAAAAAUAGGGAUUGUAGGGGACAGGGUCCCCUGCCGUUUUAAGAGGGGUGCUCAGGAUGUUAAAUAUCCGCCGAAGGGGAA
Molecule: small RNA, 82 nt
Filed under: Caldisalinibacter kiritimatiensis
Lineage: Bacteria; Bacillati; Bacillota; Tissierellia; Tissierellales; Thermohalobacteraceae
Description: Clostridiales-2 RNA
Rfam family: Clostridiales-2 RNA
Source: Rfam by way of RNAcentral